UGCGCAGGCGGAAAAUUAAGUCAGUGGUGAAAUCUCACAGCUCAACUGUGAAACUGCCAUUGACACUGAUUUUCUUGAAUACGGUUGAGGUAGGCGGAAUACGUUAUGUAGCGGUGAAAUGCUUAGAUAUAACGUAGAACACCGAUUGCGAAGGCAGCUUACUAAACCGUUAUUGACGCUGAGUCACGAAAGCGUGGGGAGCGAACAGGAUUAGAUACCCUGGUAGUCC
This 229-nucleotide ribosomal RNA is filed under the name uncultured bacterium. Its description in RNAcentral is "partial 16S ribosomal RNA". It matches the Rfam family "Bacterial small subunit ribosomal RNA", at positions 568 to 796 of the family's 1533-position model. The record is from RNAcentral.